AUGAACGCUGGCGGCGUGCCUAAUACAUGCAAGUCGAGCGAACGGACGAGAAGCUUGCUUCUCUGAUGUUAGCGGCGGACGGGUGAGUAACACGUGGAUAACCUACCUAUAAGACUGGGAUAACUUCGGGAAACCGGAGCUAAUACCGGAUAAUAUUUUGAACCGCAUGGUUCAAAAGUGAAAGACGGUCUUGCUGUCACUUAUAGAUGGAUCCGCGCUGCAUUAGCUAGUUGGUAAGGUAACGGCUUACCAAGGCAACGAUGCAUAGCCGACCUGAGAGGGUGAUCGGCCACACUGGAACUGAGACACGGUCCAGACUCCUACGGGAGGCAGCAGUAGGGAAUCUUCCGCAAUGGGCGAAAGCCUGACGGAGCAACGCCGCGUGAGUGAUGAAGGUCUUCGGAUCGUAAAACUCUGUUAUUAGGGAAGAACAUAUGUGUAAGUAACUGUGCACAUCUUGACGGUACAUAAUCAGAAAGCCACGGCUAACUACGUG
This 496-nucleotide ribosomal RNA is filed under the name uncultured bacterium. Its description in RNAcentral is "partial 16S ribosomal RNA". It matches the Rfam family "Bacterial small subunit ribosomal RNA", at positions 29 to 507 of the family's 1533-position model. The record is from RNAcentral.